GGUUAUGGCUCAGUGGUAGAGCGCUCACCUCAAAUGUGCAAGGCCCUGGGUUCGAGCCUCAGCACCA
This 67-nucleotide transfer RNA is filed under the name Marmota monax (woodchuck). Its description in RNAcentral is "tRNA.Leu". The record is from RNAcentral. Lineage: Eukaryota; Metazoa; Chordata; Mammalia; Rodentia; Sciuridae.